UACGUAGGUGGCAAGCGUUGUCCGGAAUUACUGGGUGUAAAGGGAGCGCAGGCGGGAAGCCAAGUCAGCUGUGAAAACUACGGGCUUAACUUGUAGACUGCAGUUGAAACUGGUUUUCUUGAGUGAAGUAGAGGUUGGCGGAAUUCCGAGUGUAGCGGUGAAAUGCGUAGAUAUUCGGAGGAACACCGGUGGCGAAGGCGGCCAACUGGGCUUUAACUGACGCUGAGGCUCGAAAGUGUGGGGUGCGAACAGG
RNAcentral lists this ribosomal RNA (253 nucleotides) under uncultured bacterium. RNAcentral describes it as "partial 16S ribosomal RNA". It matches the Rfam family "Bacterial small subunit ribosomal RNA", at positions 524 to 776 of the family's 1533-position model. The record is from RNAcentral.